GUGCAUAAAAAAAUUCAAAGGCUGCCGAUGCAGGCCGAGCGAAGCCUGAUCUGUAUCGCUACGAAAUCAGCAGUUGUAUUUGCUCACGCUAGAAGCUGCAGAUGUCCACUGUGAACUUUUCUUGCAUGCCAAGCUGCACAGCGCAAGGCAUUCAGCCAGCGUACUAACCAUGGCUACCAUCAACUUCGACACCGACGCGGCUACAAAUGCUUUGACUGGUCGCACCUAUCAUCGGGCUUCAGGUCUUCACGAAAAAAGUGCAUACUACGACCUCCACCUCCUGGUACGCCAGCAUUGACCAGCGGCCCAACUCGUCAUGAUUGUUCUCACUUUGACUUUCCUGCUUUACGUCGUCCUGCCGUUCCUUAGGAAAGCCUUUUCCAGGCUGUUCAGGAAAGCAAAAACAUCGGCUACAAAUGAAAGGCCAACCUAAUUAUGCAAUCAGAAUUGCAGCAUUUACUACAUCUACUGGCAACACUUGUACAGACUGUGGAUUAUAAGUUUGCCAGAUGACGACAAAGUAGAGUCAAGCUGUUCACUGCUAGACAUGUUUUCCACAAUGUACCAAUAAAGAAAGAUCUGCAAAAGCA
Dermacentor silvarum is the source of this 590-nucleotide long non-coding RNA. RefSeq lists it as uncharacterized. Lineage: Eukaryota; Metazoa; Arthropoda; Arachnida; Ixodida; Ixodidae. The record is from RefSeq and is a predicted model, not a curated record. The transcript is spliced from 2 exons.